CCCAGGUGGCCCUUCAUUCUCUCUGCCCACCUGCAAGAGGAGGAAUGUCUAGGGUUCCUUCCGCUUCCCUGGUUCUGCACCUGAGUUGCUGUUGGCCCCUGAACCUCCUGUAAUACCUCCUACCCACCCAGCCACUGAAUCCCAGAGUGGGAGGGGCCUUAGGGGGAACCGGAGCCUGAUUCCACCCAAGAAGGCUGGAAAACUAGCAGGAAGCUGCUGCCUCUUGUUGGGCCAUCAUGGAACACACCCACC
Molecule: long non-coding RNA, 252 nt
Filed under: Homo sapiens (human)
Lineage: Eukaryota; Metazoa; Chordata; Mammalia; Primates; Hominidae
Description: HSALNT0234511
Source: RNAcentral